AGAGUUUGAUCCUGGCUCAGGACGAACGCUGGCGGCGUGCUUAACACAUGCAAGUCGAGCGAUGAAACACCUUCGGGUGUGAAUUAGCGGCGAACGGGUGAGGAACACGUGAGAAAUCUGCCUUCAACACUGGGAUAACUCCGGGAAACCGGGGCUAAUACCGGAUAUGAAAUCUGCGGGCAUCCGCGGAUUUGGAAAGUUUUUCGGUUGAAGAUGAUCUCGCGGCCUAUCAGCUUGUUGGUGAGGUAAUGGCUCACCAAGGCGACGACGGGUAGCCGGCCUGAGAGGGCGACCGGCCACACUGGGACUGAGACACGGCCCAGACUCCUACGGGAGGCAGCAGUGGGGAAUAUUGGGCAAUGGAGGAAACUCUGACCCAGCGACGCCGCGUGCGGGAUGAAGGCCUUCGGGUUGUAAACCGCUUUCAGCAGGGAAGAAGCGAAAGUGACGGUACCUGCAGAAGAAGCACCGGCUAACUAUGUGCCAGCAGCCGCGGUAAUACAUAGGGUGCAAGCGUUGUCCGGAAUUAUUGGGCGUAAAGAGCUCGUAGGUGGUUCGUCACGUCGGAUGUGAAACUCUGGGGCUUAACCCCAGACCUGCAUUCGAUACGGGCGAGCUUGAGUAUGGUAGGGGAGUCUGGAAUUCCUGGUGUAGCGGUGGAAUGCGCAGAUAUCAGGAGGAACACCAAUGGCGAAGGCAGGACUCUGGGCCAUUACUGACACUGAGGAGCGAAAGCGUGGGGAGCGAACAGGAUUAGAUACCCUGGUAGUCCACGCCGUAAACGGUGGGCACUAGUUGUGGGGACCUUCCACGGUCUCUGCGACGCAGCUAACGCAUUAAGUGCCCCGCCUGGGGAGUACGAUCGCAAGAUUAAAACUCAAGGAAUUGACGGGGCCCCGCACAAGCAGCGGAGCAUGC
RNAcentral lists this ribosomal RNA (918 nucleotides) under uncultured bacterium. RNAcentral describes it as "bacterial SSU rRNA". It matches the Rfam family "Bacterial small subunit ribosomal RNA", at positions 8 to 942 of the family's 1533-position model. The record is from RNAcentral.